GAGAGUUUGAUCAUGGCUCAGGAUGAACGCUGGCGGCUUGCCUAACACAUGCAUGUUGAACGAGAAGUUCCGGAACAAGUCUUCGGACAAGGGAAGGGACGGGAAGUAGCGAACGGGUGAGUAACGCGUGGGCAACCCACCUUACACAGGGGGAUAACACAUAGAAAUUUGUGCUAAUACCGCAUAAGCGCACAGUACCAUAUGGUACUGUGUGAAAAACUCCGGUGGCGCAAGACGGGCCCGCGUCGGAUUAGCUAUUUGGUGAGGUAAGAACUCCCCAAGGCCACCAUCAGUAGCCGACCUGAGAGGGUGAUCGGCCACAUUGGGACUGACACCCGGCCCAAACUCCUACGGGAGGUAUCACUGGGGGAUAUUGCACAAUGGACGGAACUCCGAUGCGCCAAUGCCCCGUGAACGAGGAAUGUUUUCCGAUUGUCAACUUCUAUCCGCAGGGAACAAAAUGACGGUACCUGACUAAGAAUCCCCGGCUAACUAUGUGCCAGCAGCCGCGGUAAUACAUAGGGGGCCAGCGUUUUCCGGAAUGACUGAGUGUUAAGGGUGCGUACGCGGUAAGGUAAGUCUGAUGUGAAAGACUGGGGCUCAACUCCCGGGGUGCAUUGAAACUAUGUUACUAGAGUACAGGAGAGGAAAGCGGAAUUCCUAGUGUAGCGGUGAAAUGCGUAGAUAUUACGAAGAACACCGGUGGCGAAUGGCGGCUUUCUUGACUGAAACUGACGYUGAGGCACGAAAGCGUGAUGAGCARACAGGAUUAGAUACCCUGGCUAGUCCACGCCUGUAAACGAUGAGUGCUUAGGUGCUGGCCUAUAGGGGGGUCGGUCGCCGAAGUUUAACGCAAUAAGCACUCCACUCUGGGGAGUACGGCCGCAAGGCUGAAACUCAAAAGAAUUAACGGGGGUCCGCACAAGCGGUGGAGCAUGUGGUUUUAUUUCGUAGCAACUUGAAGAACCUUACCAGAUCUUGACAUCUUCGUGAAGUAUUCUAUAAAAUGGAUAAGUCCUUCGGGACAGGAAUGACAGGUGGUGCAUGGUUGUCGUCAGCUCGUGUCGUGAGAUGUUAGGUUAAGUCCUGUAACGAGCGCAACCCUUAUGUUUAGUAGCCAGCGGGUUGGGCCGGGCACUAUGAACAGACUGCCGUGGAGUACACGGAGGAAGGCGGGGAUGACGUCAAAUCAUCAUGCCCCUUAUUAUGUGGGCUACACACGUGCUACAAUGGCGGAUACAAAGGGAAGCGAAGGGGAGACAUGGAGAGAAUCCGAGAAAGUCCGUCCCAGUUCGGAUAGUAGUGUGCAACUCGACUACAUGAAGUUGGAAUCGCUAGUAAUCGCAGAUCAGCAUGCUGCGGUGAAUUCGUUCCCGGGCCUUCUACACCCCCCCCGUCACACCAUGGGAGUUGGGAGUGCCCAAAAGCAGUGGUCCCACCGCAAGGAGGAAGCUGUGUAAGGCAAGGCCGUUAAAGGGGGGGAAGUCGUAACAAGAGGCCCCUGAGAAGUUUUUAAAUCAUCACCCCCUCCAAGGGGGAAAAUCCCACACCCGGGGGGCGUUAUAAUAGGUGCACCGGGAUGCGUAAACCAAUUA
Molecule: ribosomal RNA, 1595 nt
Filed under: uncultured bacterium
Lineage: Bacteria
Description: partial 16S ribosomal RNA
Rfam family: Bacterial small subunit ribosomal RNA
Source: RNAcentral